GAGGAGUCUGCUCUCUGAACCCUCCCUAUGAAAUUUCCACCCUGCGAAAUUUCCUCCUGCUAGGACGGGUCCACCCACCGGGAGUGUCCUACCAUUUCCUCUCCGACAGCGCGAAUUGUCUGAGUGUUCUGAACUGAACGAAUCAAGAUACGUAAAAGAGUAUGGAAGGAUGCUGAGUCAAUGCUCCCAUUUUAUGGAUGUGAACAUGAAGGCCUGAGGGAGGGAAGUACUGGGAAUCAGGUGAUCUGGCUCUGAUCAAUUGUAUAAACUCCAAGAAUUGUGGCCUCGCCCAACCCAGGGGGCCUACCUCCAAGCUCCCUUUGCUGCCCUUCAGCCACACCUGGCAGAUCAGAGUGACAUGUCUCUGUUGCUUUGGAAUAUUAAUUAAAGAAAGAAAGAGCAAGAGCGAGCAGGAGGGCAGGUGACAGCAAGAGAAAGAGAAAGAACCCGUGGAGAGGAAGUUUCAGUGAAGACGGAAAGGCUUGAAACAUACCAUGGAGAAUGACCUCCGUCUUCAGUUCACAGGAUUUGAGCUUUGAGGUAAGGAAGGACAGGAACUUUGGG
RNAcentral lists this long non-coding RNA (564 nucleotides) under Microcebus murinus (gray mouse lemur). Its description in RNAcentral is "lncRNA (ENSMICG00000048530.1)". The record is from RNAcentral. Lineage: Eukaryota; Metazoa; Chordata; Mammalia; Primates; Cheirogaleidae.